Molecule: long non-coding RNA, 1805 nt
Organism: Oreochromis niloticus (Nile tilapia)
Lineage: Eukaryota; Metazoa; Chordata; Actinopteri; Cichliformes; Cichlidae
Exons: 3
Source: RefSeq, a predicted model, not a curated record
AGUCCUUCCCCAUCAAGGGACUAAAACAAAACUAGGCUUGAGUGCUGUGUGGUCAGGAUGUUAAUAUUUGUUGGAUGGAAAUAUUUUUGCUUUUGUUUUCCUUCUCAGUUCUUACGGCAUGCUGAGAGUGUGAUAACAGCAUGUUAAUGGAGCCACAGCACUAAAUAUUUUGUGAACCCCCGUUUGAAGAGUUAGACCACCAUUCGUCUUCAAUAAGUGCAGAACAGUCAAGAUUUACUUCCUUGCAUGACGGGCUGGAACAAAAUGUAAUCUGGAGCAGGUCUGAGGCCAUGAAGCACCAAUAAACCCAAACCUGAAAUCAUCAAGGAGGCUUCAUGCUGGGACUAAGAGACAUGGAGACAGUAAAGCAGAAGGAGAGCGUGAACUCGCCAGUGUUGGGACAACAUUAGCUCAGGUUAUAUACAUACAUUGCUUCCUAGAGCCUGGAACACCAUUGUGCAAAACAGUGACCGGGAUUUUGGAAUGAUAUGAUUAAAUGUCAUACAUAGCUGGAAAGUCCAGGUGUCGGUAUACUUUCAGACAGACAGAGUUAUGAAUAUUUAGUUCCUACUGACAUGUUUUAGACAUAGCUGGAGCCGUCACUUUUAUAAACUCACACUGUGUACCUAGGUAUUGUUCAAGAACAAUACAUUAUUGGACACUGUAUAAUUCUGAGAUUAAUGAAGAUCAAAAGAUAUGCAACUAAUCAGGUUAAAUUUUGGUGAAACGUGUACAGUGCACCAUCCAUCCAUCCAUCCAUCCACCCACUGGGAGGCCAGCACUUGCAGCAGAGACCCCCAGGCUGAGAGUAAACUCUCCAGUGUGUCCUGGGCCUUUCUUCUCCCUACAGGACGUUCUCAAAAAACCUAAAAUCAGAGCCCUCAGGAGGUAUCCUACUCAAAUGUCCUAACCACAUCAAUUGUCUGAUUUUGAUGGGGAGGCGUAGCAGUUCUUCUCUGGCCCUCUCAAAUGAUUAAGCUCCUCAGCAUAUCUGUAAGGACGAGCACAGCCACCCUCCAGAGAAAGCUGAUUUCUGCUACUUGUAUCUGCCUGGCUUUCCUUCUGUUUCUAAGCAGGGCUCAUGGGUAUAGGUGAGGGCAGAAACUUAGAUUGAUCAGUAAUCAGUAAAAACUGCUUUGCUUUCACAUUCAGCGUCCGCAUCACUGCCGGCAUCUGUCAGUCUCCUGCUCUCCUCACUUGGGAACAAGACACAGAGAUACAUAAACUCCACAUGGGUCAGCAACUCAUCCCUGACCCAGAGUGGGCACUCUACUCUUUCCUGGUUGAAAACCAUGUCCUCAGAGUUGGAGGUGCUAAUUUCACUCCUGCUGCUCCAGAUUCAGCUGUAGACCACCCCACUGUGAGCUGGAGGUCACCGCCUGAUGAAGUGAAAUAAACCACCUCAUGUGCAAAAAGCAGACAGGUGAUCUUGACGCCACCAAAGUGGAGAUCCUCCACCACUUGGCUGUGUGUCUAUGGUUAACACAAACCACGGUCUUCUGUCAAAAAUACAUCAACAAGACAAAACUGUCCGUUGUACAUUUAAAAAAUUAGGUUGGUUUAAGUUUGUAAAGUACAGUUAUGUGCUCUUGCUGUUACCAGUGAACACAGGUGUCACCAUACAAUGAAUAUAUAAAGAGCUUUUCAUUUUGAGGUUCUGUAUCAAAUGUUAUGAUAUAUAACCAACAAAAAACAAGUUGUACAUAAACUGUAUAUAGGUUUUGGGGUUUUGUCAGUAAAGUCACUCAAGCAUACAUGUACUUUAUGAACACACACAUACACACAGUCACACCUGUUAUAGUGAA